Molecule: long non-coding RNA, 1804 nt
Organism: Ictalurus punctatus (channel catfish)
Lineage: Eukaryota; Metazoa; Chordata; Actinopteri; Siluriformes; Ictaluridae
Source: Ensembl
UAAAUCACAAUCUAUUCCACCUAUUGUGCCACAAAAUCGUCGAUUCUUGCCCAGAAAAUCAGUCUGAGUCAGCAUCAAAAUGCUGCUAGUCUGGAACUAAAAACUAGUAACACCAUGGGUUUGGGAGGGGCAGCAUCAUUUCAUUGCCAUGACAAAAUAAACCUAAUGAACAUGAACAAAACUGAGGAGUUGUAGGAAGGUUAUUCUUUACUGUUAAUUACAAUAAACUGAAUGGGAGCUGCAGUGAUAAUGCCAAUAACAAACAUAUUUAAGGGAGAAUAAAUAGCUAAAAGCAAUAAAGCAUGUAUGCUGUCUAUUAUGUUGUCCUCUGUAUAAAACACUGAUGGAUUGGACUUUCCAUAGUAAACCUCGUCUCAGCCUGAGAUGCUCUACUUACUGGUUACAAAGCAGCUAAAAUCUUUUGUGCACUUUUCCGGCCACAAUCUUUAGAAUGUUGAAGUCUGCAAUCUGAAUGGCUCUCCACAUUUCUGUAUAUACAUACAUCCAGGUACCAGCUUUCAGAGGAAAUCAAAUUCAGUGGGAAAGCAAACAUCAUUAUCAUUUCAGUCACUGGACCCUCGCCUUUAAAAGUUAUUAAAGAGAUUUGUAUGAAGCACUUAGUGGUGAACAAACACGAUAAUCAAGCAGGUUUGCCAACAGGCUGUGGGAAAAGGUCUGUAGUUGGUCAUCUGCCAUGUCACUCAAAUGGCUUCUUUAUGUUAAAGUAGGCGGUUCUUGGCCUUGCUUAUUGACGAAACGUACCAGACACUCUAGCAAAGCUGACCUUCUCCUGUCAGAGACAAAAUGAGAAAGAAAUAAAGAUAUACUGAUCCUCUGCUUUAGCAAUCAAUACAUAAAAACAAAGAUUCUUUAAGGCCUAAUGUGUAAUGAUGAGAAACAGACAGAUAAUCAGUGAAUGGUCUUGAUAUGCUGUAAUAAAAUGUCUAUAAAUGUUUGGAGUGAGGUAUAAUGAAUGAGAGAGUCUGUGUGCUGACAUUUCCAAUGUUGAAAUAACAACCACUGUGUUGAAGGAACUAUUUACAGUGAUAAUUUGGGUUCAUCUGGAAUAUAUAUAAACACCAUGAGCGUUAAAUCAGUACAGAGUUAAUUUAACACACUUAUACACCAGCCUCACUGUAGGACGUACUGACAGCUCAGACACUACAUAGACAUUUGGACAACUCGUCUGAUAUAGAGCUUUCCCAAAUGGCCAGUUAUUACACACACACAUACACACACACACACACACACACACACACACACACAGCCCUCCAAUCACACACAUGCAGUUGACUUACUAUCCCAGUGAGAACCUUCCAUUAAUAUAAUUAUUAAUGCAGAUAACUAAUGCUAUGCUACACCUACAGCUAACCCUAACCUUAACCACCAUAGCCAAUUUUGAUAAAAAUAAAAGUUGCAGUUUUUGUUACCAAUUACAUUUCCUCACCAGAUCAACAAAUCAAAUAUUCCUAUCCUUAUUCAGCCAAUUUGCCCCUAUCAAACUAUAAAAACAUGCCACGCCCCCCACAAACACGCACACACACAUAUCUCAGGCAAAUGUACAAAGAAUGUCAACAUACAAUAUACGCACACACGGUACUGCAGUAUAGGGCGGCGAUAGAAAGCAACACGCAGGAUCAGUGUUUCCCCGGAGAGCAAGAGAACAGUGUACAGAUCCGUUUUUACCCCUGCAGAAGUGGAGUAGGCUAAUGAAAAACACAGGCCUACUUCCUGCUCUGUGUGUGUGUGUGUGUGUGUGUGUGUGUGUGUGUGUGUGUGUGUUAUUUUUCAGGAUGAUAUAUGG